UGACCAUACAACAUCCAUCAUCCAUGAUAUCUCUUAUAAGUCCAGGGAGCUGCUAGGCAGUGAGCAACCUGGCCUGAGAUCCCAAUAAGAGACUGGGGAAUUGAAUACAGCAUCCAGCAAGACAUGGUGGUGAACCCUGGCUCUAAGUCUUCAUGAUUAAGCGACUCUUUUGCACAACACAAAGAGUAUUCCGGGGACACAAAAGUAUUGCUCCUCUCCUCCAGAUGUGUAUAGUCCUGGUGGAUAACUGAAAGGCAAGUAGAACCAACCAGAAUGUUAACUAUUAUCAUAUGUUUGUAU
RNAcentral lists this long non-coding RNA (300 nucleotides) under Canis lupus familiaris (dog). RNAcentral describes it as "lncRNA (ENSCAFG00000040632.3, ENSCAFG00845007461.1)". Lineage: Eukaryota; Metazoa; Chordata; Mammalia; Carnivora; Canidae. The record is from RNAcentral.